GGCUGGCUGUAACACAGUGUGAGGGAGGGAGGCUUGAGGACAUGCAGGCCCCCAUCCGCGUGUCACCUCAUUUCCAUUUCAGAACAGAGGUGAGGAGGUGUCUUGUGGAGCUCGGAGGUGGUUUUUAUGUGAAAUGUGAGAAAUGAAAUCGCUCUCAGUCCUACACCCUCAGAAUUAUUUAGGUUGGCAUUUAAUCCCUUUUGCAUUUUCCUGCCCACUGUGUUCUGGGUUUCUCUCUGCUUUUGUAAGCGAUGUGAAAGCAGCACCCUGCAAAGCACCAGGGUUACCACUCGGGGCUCUUUGGACAUGGAGCCACAGAACAGAGGUUACAGAUCACAGCUUUGUGAAGAAACAGCCCCAUUGUCAUAGUGAGUCUGUGCCCAGCUGUUUGCAGGCAGCUGCCACGUUCCAGGGAGGUUUCAGUGGCUGAUGAUGACCCCUCAAAGCCCAGCUGACUUUGGUGAGCUGCAGCACUCUUACCUGAUCCACCAUUUCAGUCAGUCUAUGCUCUCUCACAAUCAUCUUUUGUGACUCUUUCUAUUUGUUUUUCUUUCUGGCUUUGAGCCCCUCAACCGGCUGCCUCAGCCCAGCGGAGGUGGAAGACAUUAAAGGUCCUGUGAAACCUCACCCAAAAUAUGCACAAAGCUGGGACACAGGUGUUUCCCCUGCUCAAUGCUCUGUUUCGCAAAUUUGGCUGGCCCAGCUUUCUGGAUUGCUUCAUGAGCCCAUCUUCCUGAGGGGGCUCAAAGCCAAGCCAGGAACAAACAAGAAACAAAGGCACGCUGAGGUGUGGACACAAGGCCUGGGGAAUGUGUGGAGAUGGAGGUGAGAGAGUUUCUGCCAAACACAACCUACAACCAGACUGAUCAAAACGCCAUUGAUCGCUGAGUCCCGCAGACAGGAGUGUGCCAGUGGUGUUCAACAAGGUGAGGGAGGGAGCCAAGGAGAUGAAAAUCAAAUCAUCAGGAGCUUCAACACUAUCAAGAGCUACUCUGGCCUCAGGGGAUGGCUACCUAGAUGAAAGCUGAAGAACAAGCGAACAAGUCCACAAUUACAAGAUCCUGCAAGACCAAGGAGGCCACGAUCUGAAUUGGAAAUUAUCCUUACAGCUCAGGGAAAUGAUUCCUGAAUACUUAAAAGAAAUUUCAUCAGGAACAGUCCAAAAUGCUGUGCCUGGGAAGCUGUUGGUGCCACGUUUUGCUGCAGAUGAAGAGGAAACAGAAGAUACAAGAAAAGCAGUCAGAGCAUAGAGGACUGGGAAGCAUGAACCACGAGGAGAUGCUGAAUUGUGAACUGGGUUUGUUUAUUUCAGGAAGGAGAAGGCUGAAAGAGUAACUUAACAGCAGAUUUCCAGUGUAUAUCUCUGUGUGUAUGUGUGUAUAUAUCUAUACGUAUACGUGGGUAUAUAUGUAUAUACGUACCUAUAUAUAUAAAAAUGAAAAUAAGUGAUGGCUAUAAACAAGGCAGUGGCACAUCGUUCUCUUCGAUCUCAGAGAGGAUAACAAGCAGAAAUCAUCUUAUUUUAGUACUUAAUGUCAGAGUGAGAAGAGUUGGCACAGUCUUGCAAAGAUGCUUCUUGCUGGUUGUUUUUUUUUUUUUUUUUUCCUCUUUCAGAAAAGUCAGACAGUGCCUGCUGGGAGGCCCUGGCUCUGCUUCAGAGCAGGGAGCUCAUUCCAUGAGGUUUUGUACAGCCUCGCAUUUCUGCUCAGGAAGAAAUGCAAAAAUGUUCUUAUCUCUAGAGUUUCCAUUUUAAUACUGCUUUGACUAUAUGCCAGAAAUUGUUUGAUUUGAUGGUCUUACAUUGCUCACCACAAAAAUGUCAACAUUUAUUCUCUGUUACCAUCCUCUGCACUGAAGAUCCUGCAGUAUUUUAGUUCAUAAAAAGCCAACCGGUCCAUUACUCGUGCUCUGCAAACAUCAGUUGCUGCCUGCUUUAGACUCUCCUUCAUUCUCCAUGGCAGCAUCACUCCAAACCUUAUUUCAUAAAAGACAAUAGACAAAAUACGGUUAUGUAAAUAUUAAAAGAGAACGUUGUGAAAAGGAAUUAUCCAAGAAUCUGCCCCAUGGAGAAAGAAGCAGAGCAGAUCCUGGCAUUAAACCAUGUUAAUGCAGAUGCGCAGCAGAGCGCAGUCUCAGUACUCCAUUAAUUAGAUUCUGAUACAAGUGAAGACCCGGGGCUUUUUCUUGUGUUGAUGCAAGGGGUUUCAGCAACCAGCUCCUGGCUGACCCCAGGACAAGCAAGAGAUGAGACUGAUGUGUCUGUGGAGCCAAAAUCACUCCAGGGGAGCACGGGGACUGCCCUGUUCACACUGACCGCAUGGGCCAUUGGUGGUGACCACUACCUCGGUGACUUUCCUCGCGCCACCUAUUGCAACUCAGCCAAGCCCUUUCUUGAAGUGAUAUAUAGGCUACACCACUGCCGUGAGAAGUCAUUGAUUAUAGGGUACAUUAGCAACAAUACCACAGUUAACAUUGGAUGGUUUGUUAGAGCAGUGAACACCCUCCGCUUUGCUUUCAGCUAUUAAUUAACCAACCAGUCAUUAACUGCUGCUAACAAUUGAUUUGCAGGGAAUUAUCACUUAAAUAGCGGGAGGUAUUUAAGAGGAAAAUAAAUUAAAACAAAGAACUGCUGGAUCCUUGGGCACAGAAAGGACUCCUUGUAAUAUAGAGAAUGGCUGCUACAGCCCUAUAAUUACAGAGUGAUAAACAAUCAUUGGGAAGUGCGUUCCCUUCCAGAGACAAUGACAUUAUGUCUCCUAGAAAGAAACCCCUUUGUCUGCACUAAUUGAAUGAUCUGAAAUGAAUGAUGUUAUCAGAAGCCUAACCCAGGCAACUAAUGUUAUAUUUAUGAGUUAUCAAAAAUGUUUAAUUGCAGCUGCAGUCUCUCCAAGAAGUGUCAUGGACACUGCAGCGUCCAAAAAUAUGAUUGAGGGCUGGUAUGGCACAUUGUCUUAAUUAUCACGAAGAAUUACAAGUUCUUCAGUUGGUUCUGCCUCCCUCUGCACUGGCAGAACAAAUGAGAUCUAUUAACCCAAGUGCAAGUGAACACCGCCUCCUAAUGACAUUUUUUUUUCCUCUCUGUGAGCAGAGAGAGGGAGAGGAGAGGUUGCAUAAUGUUUUUCCCUGAGAAAGAGAGACACAAAUCAAUUUACAGUGCUUGUAUCACCUGCGACCACACUCUCAGCUCCUCCUGCUGCAACUGCCUGCACCGGUGCCACCAAGGUCAACGCCUGGCUUGACUCCGAAGGAAUCACUACACACUUCAGAUCAUGUUUACCAUUUCCAAGUUUAACCACGUUUCACUGCCCUCUCCUGGAGCCAGAGGCUGAAUGCUUGUCUGGCUUUUGGGCCGUGUACUGCAGCAUUAGCAAAGAUUUAAUGUGAAGGGAGAGGGCUGCUGUUCCUUCAAAUCCGAAGUUAUGGGACAGACAAAGAUGAAGUGGGAAAGUAUUGCUGGAAAAGAUUUUGUGGAUACGUGUCAGUUUUCCCCCUCUAUCUGUCUUUUUAGGAGCAAAUUCUGUAAAAAGCCUACAUGGUUUGACCUGCCCCGGGGGAAGAACUGGGCUGUGCCCAUGGUGGCUCUGAGGCGCUUGAGAGGCUUCUCAAGUCUUCAGUUGUAAUCUCCAUUGUUGUUUCAAAUGUUCAUACAUGCUGCAGGAAUUUUCUGCCCUCCAAUGAAUGCAGGCUUUCUGACUAGAAUUUUAAACUCUUAAGGUUUCUCUUAUUUGGCUCCAGCUGGUUUGGUGAGCAUAGAUUUGUUCUGAGUGUGUCAUGGACAUCUUGGAAAGGAGUGUCCACAGUGACCUCUUACCUGUGACAGCUCCUCUGCCUUUUCCUUCAUUUAUACAUGUAAGAAUAUGUAACUUUUUGAUUAUCCAUAAAAUAAAUAGCUACUUAUGAGAGGCUGUAGGAAACAACAGAAACUGAGCAGAACUUGGGGUCUGUGAUAUUUUGUGUUUCCUUACCCUACUGAUCUGGCACAGCUGGAUCUCAGUAUAUUUCAGUACCAGGAGGUGGCAGUGGUAAGCGUUAGUAGACCGGAACAGAAAACUAGUUGGUAAAACCUCUGUUGAUGCAAUGUAUGACUACAGCUGUGUGAACCUUUGCAAAGACCUAUACAUCCCUUUCGGUUUUAUUUAGCAGCCUGCAGAGGGUGAGAGACAGUCCCUUUCCAGCCAAAAUCCUCAGUUCAGUCGCAAAAAGGCAGUUCAGAAGUUUUAUAGGUUAUAUGAUAUGGAAAGAUGAGCUGCUGCUAGCAAUGAGAGCAUCGUGAUUCCCUUACAGUAUUUGAAAACAUCAUCAAGCUGUUAUCAGGUCAGAUAACAGUACUUAAUCCUCCCAAAACACACUUGAGAAUGUUUUAGCACUCCUGGGGGAGGCAGAAUUAAGUAGCAACACCACAUUUUUUUAGUCUAAGGGAUCUUUUUUGAUGGUUGAAGUCAAUAAAUGACCCAAGUACCUUCAUUUCCUCACAAGAUGGCAGUGCUUGGUGUCUAAGUCCAAGAGAGUCCUGGGGCAAGGUAGUUGCUCAGCCUGUUAGCCACCAGAAAAGGGAAUCACCGUCACAGCGUUAAUUAGACUCUACUGUGUGAAUGUUGAUACCCUGCAAGAUGUCAGAAGUUGUCCAGUUGAAGAACUGCAAAGUUAUUUUUCAGCAAUCAUGCAUGCAAGCAGGUGAACGAUCCAAACUGGAGAAUGAAAGAAAGGGUUGAACAGACAGAUGUUGGCCUACCUUGGUUUGGGUUCUGAUGCUCACCAUUACAGUGACGCUGCCUGUCAUGGGGCAAAGCAAGUCAUACUGAAAGGUCCAGAACCACUGUUGUGUGCACGUUCCCCCCUUGAAGCUUCGAGAAAGACCCGUGGCAGCCCACCUCUACUGAGGACAGGGUUUUCCUCCAUCUCCAAGAGCAGAGAGGCAACAUUUCUUUGAAAAUCUGAAAGGUGCUUGCCAUAACUCUUGCUUAAGGACUUUUUGAGAUACUAGGAGUAUGUUGUUCAAACCUCCCCUCUGUCUAAGAACACUUAAAACUAUGUUUUUGGUCUCCUAAGAGAGUUUCCAAGCCAUAAGAAUGUAAACGAGAUGUCUUCCUCAAAGCUCACUCCAAAGCUCACUCCAGUGCUUUCUAAUUUCAUUUCCUAAGACCAAUGGGGCAUUAACAUGAGGUACCAAAAAAAGGUAGCUGUGCACAUACUCAGAUGUGAGUCUUUCCAACAGAAAAACUGCUUCCAGUGAUUGGCUUGACUUGGGCAGACUGAACCUGGGCACCUCAAGCUCAGCUAGGCAUGAAGCUUAUUCUGAUAAGCCUGAGGAGGAAGAUCUAGCAGGAAAACUAAAUCAAUUGUGGGAUAUUGGAGGAUACAAUGUUUUUAGGCAGUUGAUGUGGCAAAUUUUGAUUGGCUGUAAAACCCAUUUCUUCUCAUUUAUGCAGGCUAUGUGUAAUGGUGAUGCAAACUGCCCCAGGCCUGGGAAUAAGCUGGUUCUUGCUUUUCUUAUUUUAGCUCUGUGUGAGAGUAUAAAGGAACCAAUACAGCUAAUAAAACAGUGAUUGAUUUAGUCUGUCUAGUGAUGGUUGUCUCUGAUUGUAUCACCAGCUUUUCUCAAAGCAGUUACCAUAGUAAUGAAAAAUAUCUGCAAGGUCGUGGAGAUUUUUAGGGACAACAAAUGUACAGUAUGGCAUCCAAGAAAAAGAGACUAAGUGGAAGCCAGCUAGGUGUUCAACUUGAAGGAGAAUGUUUUGCCCAAAUAUUCAGCACAAUUCAAUUUUUAUACAGUAGGAACUGACCUACCAUUUAUUUAAUGUCAUCUUUUUUCUAGCAUUUAAUCAAUAUUAAUUGAUCUUUAUUGUACUUAAUUCAACUUAAUGAAGUGUUGUGUGCUUGAAACAGCCAUAUAGCUGAUGAAGGAGAUAGAACAAUUACUUUGUUGUUUUUCUGUGUUGUUAUCUAAUUAAUGUAUUUUUUUAGCUCAGUUUUACUUUGGAAUUACAAAUUCAAGCAUCUUAAUAUCCAAAGAAAAUAGGAAACUAGGAAAGCUGCUAAAAUAUACACCAGAGUAUUAGUAGCAACAUUUGCAAUAAGCUUAUUUUAAGUUCUUUUCUGACAGAUGAGGAGUUUUUGGUGGAUAUUGGAGAAUUCAGGUCAAGCUAUAGUAGACGGAGACUUUGAAUAGAGUUAACAGCAGUUUGAAGACCCCUGUUAGUUUGCAGGCUCCAGAUUCUCAAGUGAGCUUUACGUGAGAUGCUGUGAAGUCAAGGAUAACUCAGGGACCCGUCAGCGAUGUAAGUUAUCUCCUUUCCUUCUUUGUUAUUUAAAACACAAAAAGCAUUUAUUCACUCUUUCUUUAAAUACCUGUUUAAAAAAAAAAAAAAAAAAAACAAAUGAAUGUUUCAAGGGUCUGGUGAGCGCAGGACGGGGCUGUGAGGAGGGCUGUUAGCAGUUCUGAAGAUGCCUGAGAAGACUUUCCUUGCUCAGAGCUAUGUGAAAUACUUGAGCAGAGGAGAGAGGAGAAGGCUGACAUUUGGAUUAAGAGUUGUUGAGCAUUAAGUGUUUUUGAGACUGAAGAUCUGGCAGCAAAUAAGGUGAACUGAAGUGUAGCUUAUCUGUUUGGCUGAGUUUCCAGGGUUCACAGGUCACUCGUCCAGGAAGCAAACUGAUUGCUGAGGGAGGAGUGGGGCUGGAAAAAUAUUUUCUUACCGAGGAUGCUUUCACAGGUGCUCUUCCCCUUUGCUGAUUAUUCCCAAGCUUUUUUUUUCCUCCAACUGCGUAAGGCUCACCUACAUCUGGGUGCCAAUGCUUGCUCCUGAAAGAUGAGGUUUUGGUGAAAUGUCAGGGAGGGACACUUCACUUUAGCCUUGAGUUUGGUCUUUAGCCGUCUGGGAUCAUCCAGCACCUGUAACUAGAGAUUGAUUGUUUCACCAGCAGGAUUUUGUUCAAGAUGUUUUUAUUUAGUGGAACCAUUGAGGCACUGGCGAGUAGUAAAGAAUAGCAAAGAAACACGUAUUGAAAUACCAGGUAUUUUCCUCAGCUGGUUUCAUCUGAAACAUCUGAAUUUUUUUUUUCAAAAAUUAAAUUCCUCGAUGAAGAGGAGUUUCUUAACAAGAAGUCUUGCAGUGCGAGACAAGGAGCUAGCAUCCUGAAUCCAUGCUGGAAGAAGGGCACAAUUGUGGUCUUUGUAAACUCUCUGCUGAAAAGUUUUUUGUAGUACCUAGGGGUUGAAACAAAAGACAGAGGAAAAUUCAGCUAAAGAAGAUUUAGUAGACUGCAAAAUAUUGGUAGGAUUUUUUUUUUUCAGCCAUCUCACAGCAUUCAAUUACAUCAAUGCAGUGAUGUUCAACUUCUGUAUGCAGAAAAUCCCACUCUUGGGAGCAAUCAUUUACGUUCCAUGGCUCCUGUCCACAGGGGCUGAACAGCUUCACCGUGCGAGCAAUCCUGCCACACCAGCUCAGUUUGAUAUUUCAGCUGUAGCUCGUAUGGUUCCAGCAGCAGUGAAGGAAUGAGGGGAACACUCCCACAUGCCUUGUUCUCCAUCCAAGGCUGCUUGCAUGUAGAGAUCCCUUGGCGAGUUAACACUCACUGCUGAGUACAUAAAAGUGAGGGGGACCUUUUAAACGCUACGUUCACAUCUUUGUGGACAGAUCCUUUUCCCAAGAUAAAGAUCUUUUAACAUUGAAUGCAGGAAGCUUCUCUUGUCACCUAAUGGGCAAGCAUGAAAUACACAUGAGUAUAAAUGUGUCUUGGAAAUUAACAAAAUACAUAAAAAGAAUAAUGCAAGCGAUGUGACACUGAUUCAAGAAAGUGUCCAGCUACCUGCCCAGGUGCUUGCCUGAAAAAACCUCACAAUCCUGUGAGCAAGCAGCCUGGGGUUUUUGUAGGGCCACAUUAAAGCUUGCAAGGCAUUGUUUUGAAGUGUUGCUGACUCUUCCUUCUGUUCAUCGCAGAUCUCAUUAGGAAAUGAAGGAGAGGAAACUGGGCAACCAUCCUGCUCGGCCAUGAAGCAACGCACAAUGAGCAUAAUGAAGCCAGCAGCUGCAGGACAAUGGGAGCAGGCUGGGGCUAUUUUUGUUAGAUGUGAACAAUCAAUUGAACAUGUGAGACCUUACUGUGCUCCCUCCCCACCUUCUCCCCCCUUCUCAAAUGCUGGAAAUUCUCCCAAAGAGAAACGGCUUUCCUUUUCUCUUUGUAAAGCUGAUUAUCAUCAUAAUUUUCUCUUUAAUCUCCAAGCAGGUUUCUUUUGGAAGUCUUUGGCAGUUUCCUCUGAGCACAGUUGUUUGACUGUGUGGGAGUGAUGGGUGGCUGGGUCACCCCGGGCACCAGGAGGCCUUGGGCAGCAUUCACAGCGUUUAGGGGGUGUGAGAGACCCCUGACCUCUCCAUGGCUGUGCGCAAAGGAUGGCAACAUUGUCACAGAGUUAUCCUCACAGCAAAAAUGUGAAUUUGGACAGGGCAUAGGUCUCACAGAUGGAAAAUAAACAACAAGUGUUGGCAUUUGAGAUGCAUCGAGAAAAAAAUAUAAAAUUAAGAUGGUACUCAUCGCUGCAAGUCUCAAUUACCUCUGUCUUCAUCACUUCUUUGUCGGAGCAGCCCUUUUCAAUGCAUAGCAACACUAGCUCCAGCUUACAAAUGGAAAAAAAAAUGCAAGGACAUAGACCUAUGAUUUGUGAUGUUGAGUGAGAAGGAAAGAAAAAACAUAAAUUUGGUCUCUCUCUAAACAGGUUCAUAUUAUUCCUUUGUGCUAGGAUAUAAAUGUAAAACCCCUCCCCGGAGCAGUAAUGUUAUAUCUACAUCUUUUCAGUGUUCUGUGUGUCAGUAGCAGCUAUACUACCUUAGAUUCUCAUCCUUCAUAAUUAUGAAAGGAAUAUUAAUUUAGAAAUGGGCCUUUCUAACAUCUGAUAUUUCAUGCUUACUCUGAAGCAGCACUUACAGAUUUGCUAUUAAUAUUUUUUGAUUUUCAGUUGUUCAGUGUGCAAAUCUUUUUCCCUUUGUGAAGCAGCCUAUUAGUCACACACAAUCAAUACUUUCUUCUACCUAUUCUACCUAUUAUCUUAAUGUCACUGAGAUCUGGCUGGAUCUUCAUACAAUUCUUGUUACCACUUUAAUUUCAUUAUAAUGAUGUGUUUACCUUGGUAAUAGUUUAAUCAAAAUUGGAUGUGUUUAUAACACUGCAGCUUAGAUUAACAGCUUAGUUCUAUUUUACUACAAGGAAGCCAUAAAAUUGACUGUAAUUCCUAAUCAAUAUAGCUAUAAUUCUUAGAAUUUAAAUAGGUUUUUAAAUGGCCUUGCCUGUGCUACUAAAGGUAACAUGGCUGUCCUGUAAUUAGUCUUCGACAGAAUCCAUUUCCAAUCAGUCAGUUGUUUCACUCUACUUCCAGUUGUCAAAAAAUGCAGAAUUUACUUACUGACAUUUUUGGUUUUUUCCCUUUUCCUACCCCCUUUCCUUUACCCAGACUUGGCUGAAUGAUGUUGUAUUAUGACAGCAAGAAGCGAAACAUCUCAUGACUGAAUCCAUCGUCAUAACACACACGCCUACUGCAGAGGAGAUGCUGGUGGGCUGUGCCUGCUGUCUCCUUUGGAGCCUCUGCCCUCAGAGUCAUUGCCUUUCUCUCUACAGCUUAUCUCCUUUGGGUGAGUACUCUUCCAGUUUCCAAAUCUACUUCUCUGUUCCAAGAUUGUCACUACCAAGUCUCCACCAUUUUUUCUCAAAAUCAAGCUCUAUUUCACUGUGAAGAUCUUUGAGUUGAACUCGGCUCAGCCCUGAAAACUCAAAUUGCAGUUUUCACAGAAUGGCCAAGUCAGUGCUCUGACCUCACUGGUCACAUCUGAAAAUUCUUAAACAGAUCUCAAGUCAUAGUUUAGGCAAAAUAUCCAUCCUCCUUUUUGGACUGGUUGCAAGCAUUGCAGCAUCACUGUGGACAUAGCUCCGGUGGACAGAACAGCAAGAAAAAUGAGCUUCCAGACAGACAAUGCGAAUCGUAGUGUUGUAACAAUAUGCUCAUUCUCUGUGUUCUCUUUUGUCACCUAGUUAGCUCUUUCUGAAGAGAAAAAAAAUGGGAGUGAGGAAUGCCUUCUAACAGCCUACAUACUUCCGUAAUUUGGUUUCCCAGGUUUCCUAACAUAAAGGAUUUACAAAAUCUCUUCCUGAAAUAGCUGGAACUGAACUUAUUUCUAGGCUCUGUGCCCCUCCCUGGAAAGACCGCAGCCUCAUGAACUUGGCUCUGAAUUGCCCGGUGAAAUGCCUGCAAACUGCAGCCCUGGUUCAUCGGUGCUGCAGGGUAUUGAAGAGCUCUUUCAUCAAGGAGAGAUGACAGCUUUCUUUUCAAAUCAACUCACUUAAGGGGAAAAAAAUAGGAGAGGAACGAGAAGGAAAAGCUUUCAUCUCACACAGUUCAAAGCUCAUUUUUCAUGGUAUUGGAUAUGGACAAUACUUUUAAUCCAUUUCUUAGUGAGCCUGAGUUCAACAAACAUGGACUCCCUCCCCACUGUCUCUAAUGCAUUUCCAGCCUGCUCCUGGGAUGAGGAAACAAGAAGGAUCUUGUUGCUGUGAACACCCAGUGCCCGGGACUGCAAAGGCCAUCCCUUUUCCCAGGGAAGAGUCUUGACAGUUUAGCAAUGGCAGGUUAUUAAUACUUCUGAUGGCUUCAAAUGCAAUAUCAGAUUUGCUGCCUGGCUGGGGGUUUGUCUAGACGGGCUGUUUUAUUAGAUAGCAGAUGGCUGGGAAGUGGUGUGCUGUGACAGAGCUUACUGACUGGAAUGUGAAUUCUCUGCUCCUGGAUCAGAGUGGGAAGGGGCUGGGGUGGAGGAUGAGGAGAGCACAACUCCCACAUCCCCAUCCAGUGGAAAAAGCACGUGUAUUUUAUGGAGGGAAAUGAGCUUAACUGCACUCGUCUCAGAUCCUAAAGCAACUCCAAUCAAUCACGGAAUGAAUUUCCCUAAUAUCUACUCCGUGCCAGUACUGGGAAAGUGAAUUUAUGAUCUUUGACUGUUUAAUAUUUGUGAUUUUGGUCUAGAUAAAUGAGCAGUGGCAGAGCAUAUUGUCUGGACAAAAAAAAAAAGUGUCGAUCCAAAUUCUGCUAUCAGGUAAUUGGAUCUGUGCUGUUUAUCCAGACCUGUGUGGGCAGAAGUUCAGGCUGCCUCUUUUGCAGAGAGGGCUGAGAAGAAAGCCUUACUGGUGGAGGACUUUGGAUUUCUGCUUCACUCUGGGCCAAUCUCUGCACACUCAGAUGAAUUUAUUUGCACCAGAGGCAGCAGCUCUCUCCCCUCAGCAACAGCACGUGGCUCUACAGAUGGGCCGCGUGUGUCAAUAUGGACCUAAGUGUGAAGUUUGAAAUGAUUUCCCCUCCUUCUUCCCUGACACAAAGGUCUCCUGGGGAGGAACUGGUUACCGAGUCGAAAAAAAUGUAAGUUUUGUGCAGCAGAGCCUGCUCUCUGAAGAGAGGGAAAGCUUUGUUUCUGGCUUGCGGGAUGGCAGAACAGCAUUUCCAAGCAGAAGAUAGGCCAUCUGCGCUUUCAGGCGCUUCAGCUUAUGUCCCCAGAGCCAGGCUGUGUGCUGGUGAAAAGAAAAUAAAAAGCCCAUGGCAUGUUAAAACUGACAGCCCACAGCCCGGGUGGGUGUAAUGCAGUAGCACACGAGCACAUUUUGGGGUUGUGAUUUGAAGCUGAGUGGUGCCUCUUACUUCCGAAUGGUCCUAAGGGAUGUCUGUGGGGCGAGAUGGCUGUGCUGGUGGCAGUGUGGAGGAACAAAGGCUGGGUGCAUGUUUCUCAGGAGAUGGCAUCAUUGUACGUUUCUGCCAUUGUGGUUUUGGAGAGAGUUUACACCAGUUUGGCUAUUUCCACCAUCAUUUAAUCACAGCAUCUGCAGAAGCGGGACUGCAAAGUCACAGCUGGUUCGGGCAGGCAAAACCUGCCAGGGGUCCUGCAUCACUGCUCUGUGCUAGACCUCAGCCACCAAACCUGGUGCGAUGAUUCCCAAGUGAAAAAUUUUCAACUAGAUUUAGCAGCAGCGGACCAUCCACCGUAUUAUCUUCACUCUGCCAACAGGUAUUGACAACUUCUUUAAUACAAGGGAAUGCGUAUCAUUGACGUCAGCGGUGGUAAUAAUUCUUGUGAUUGUUUCCCAUGCAGACUUAUGCCAGUGGCAAGCUGCUUGGUCAGGGGAGAAGAGAUGCCAAAUUUGGCAGUGAUGUGCCAAGCAGAGUGUUUGCUAACACUGACUAAUGACUGCCGUGGUGCUGAGGGCAUGCAAGCAAUGUGUUAUUUCAAUCUCCAAACACUUUAAGUGAGAAUUUAGACCUUAUGCUAAUUUUUACAUAUUUAAUUUAUAAAGGUCUUUCUUUGUCUUGUCUGACAUCUCUUUACCAGUCUGUGUCUGUUACUCAUCAACUAAUUGGCUAAAUGGUAACAGCCAAGCACUGCAGGCACCUUAGCUCUCAAAUAGUGGGAGACUUUUGGACGGUUGUGAGUUCACGGGCGAAUGGAUGUGCACGAUGAAGGGAUUUCAGGUUUAUCAGUCAAUAACACUGUGGCAUCAGGCUGUCUGGAGUUAGUACUGCUAAUUUAUUUAGUGCAAUUCCCUAGGAUGAGUAAAUGCAUUUUUCUGCACACAAGAAGCUAAUGCUUGAUGAUAGCUGCACAUUGCCAUAGAAACCAAGCCAGGUUCAGCUGUAAGUCAAAGGUUAAUUUGUAAUUAUUUUUAAAGUCAUCUCACUGAAAUGCAUCAGUUUAGGCAGAACUUGUCCAAAAGCUGACUCCUUACUCGUUCUACACUAGCUCUUCCAAAAAUACAUUAACACGGCUCCUGUUUGCUUAAGGCAGAUUCUCCAUAAGGUGUUAUACAAGAUAACUGUCUGGUUUUGAGUGUUUGUAGCUGUGUUUGCAAAUGACAGUGUGACUGACAGCACAAGCUCCCCGUGGGAUGGCUGGGGACCAGAGCACAGAUGACUCAUUGUGUAUGAUGUUGUUUCACACCAAAGUGUUUGCUCUAUAUACUGAACAUGUGUGCGAGUCAAUAGCAAAAAGUUCAAGAGCAAACACAGCUUCAGUGGAAACAAAUUCACAGUGCCUGAAAUCAUUAUACUCCAGCCAGAAAGCUAAUUUCAUUGAGGGCAGCUGGUGAGCAAAAUGCCCAUUUGAACUCCUCUUUAAAGUGGGAAGUUCACACGGAUGAAGCCUAUGUCUUCUUCAAAUGCAGCAUGAACAGAGAAGCCUGACAUUUCCUUCAGCAAAAGCCUUUUUGCUCCAGGGGUGGGCAGGAGUGAGUUCAGACCCCUCCUCAGAACUUCCCAAUACAGCAGCAACAGCCAGUAAUCAGAGAAUAAAAGGGAAAGCUUUCUCCCUUCCUGUCUCCCCAGCUGCCUUUCUAACAGAGUUGUUUUCAUAUCAGGAGCCAUUAAUUUACUCUGUUGCCAAUCAACCCUCCCGUCCAGCCUUUGCAAACCUACAAGGUGCAUUAAAAGAAAGGGAAAGAAGGAAAGAAAGAAAGAAAAAAAGGAUAAAAUAACAAAACUCUUCCUGAUUUGAUGCUGCUUUUAGUGUCCCCCAGGGACAACUUCAGCCCCGGGCUGGCAUGGCUAUACAGAAGUGCCCACGCAACAGGCUUGUCUCUUCCGAGCCAAAACAAAGCAGGUCUGAGAGAACAGCAUGCAUUGUCAGUCCCUCGGAGAGCUGGUGGUGCCCCUGGAUCAUCCCUUCUCUUGGUAGGAAAAACCCUCUGCAACGUAUAUGGGGAGAUUUCAAAUCCCAAGGGAUGGGUGGCUGAAUACAUGAAGGCAAUUUCAACUGUCACGUCCCCUCUUACUAAGACUUCAGGAGGCCUUUGUGUGUUGUCCAUCAAAGUCUGUUGCAGGUGAAGGACUGGUUCAGGCAGUGCUGUGUUUACAGGGAGCAGAGGGGUCAGUCUCCCAGCAGUGCUCCCACAGAGGCUCUCACACUGGGAGCUGGGGGUGGUGCAAGUGUACCUGGAGGACUUUGGUCAGAAACCCUCACACUUGCUCCCUGGAUUCUCUGGAAAAUCUCUUCUGCAAAGCCUAUUUCCACAUCCCAGAUCUCACGCAGCCCUGAUUUUUCUGGAGCUGUGCAGCUAAUGCAGCAAGGGAUUCAUAUACUUAUAGUCGCCUGAGGCACAGGUGAGCUUUGUCAGCCCCAGGACUGCAGGUACAAGCAGGACACAGCAGGAGGAGGCCAUCCAGCUCCCUGUGGCACCAGGCUACAGCAAUGUUCCUCUGCUCCAAACUACCCCUGGGAUGCUGGAACAAUGCGACCUUGAAACACAGCCAUUGGGACAUCCUGCAGCCCAAAGGAUAUCACAGCACAUGGCCAAAGAGAGCCCUCAGAGACCUUCAGAACAUUUUACUUCACCCUUAAAAUGGAGCACAGAUUCUCUCCGUGAAGAAAGAAAUGAAAUAAAAGCAGAGACAGGGUUAUACCUUGAAACAUGGGCACCUGGGGACCGCUGCCACCUUCUGCUGCCCUGUCUGCACGCUUACAGGAGGUUUAUUGCUGCUUUCCUGCCUUUUGAAAUGUGACACUGCAAAGCUUGGGGCUGGGAAAACCGCUUUGUGAUUGCAUUUAAACAUUUUAAAUGUGCCAUGUAUGCGUCCAAUUUCCCACGAGGCACGUGUAACGUGAGAGAGCCUACUGAGGAGCGAGAGGCAGAGCAGUUAGCUCAGCAUUUUGCAUGUCUUGUUCAAUUUGUCCUUAAUGAGAGGGAGAGUGCUUUCUCACCAUUUCCGUUCUUUAGACCAAUUCAUCUGUUCAUCAGUGGACGCGGGCGUAAGUGCACAAAGGUAUUUGCAUGUCAGUGAGGGUUUCAAAAAAUGCCUGAGCUACAGUGAGCCACCGUAUCUUGCCGUUAAAUUCCAUGUCCCUGGUGGAUUUCCCCACGCUGUUGCUAGGAGAUGAAGAUACUGCCUAACAAAGGAAAUAUUGACAAAAAAUUUUCCAGAACGAAUCUAUCUUGUUACAGUAAAUACACUCUCGCAUAAAAAGGAUAUUGCAGGAUUUGUUUCCCCAGUGGUGGCACGGGCAAAAUUGCACACACCGCGUUAAGGUGAAAUUUUCCCAUCACAAAUAUGGCUUUGUUUAGUUUUGUUGAUAUGAGGACUUUCAGUGUAUUUAAAUGCCAGAAGUGCUGUUGCCUUCCAGUGUGUUUUGUUGCUAGGAUAAUAUCAUGAAUAUGCCCUAUGUGUUUUUUCCCCUUCCCUUCUCUGCUACUUCUCCCUUUCAGGAAGAAAUGCGCCCUAUUAUGAAGGCUUCCUUUUUUUUUUUUUUCCCCACAACCCUUCUGGGAAGCAUGGAUUCCUUUGUUUAUUUUAAAUCAGGGAAGAAGCGUGCAUGACUCUGGACAUACAAGGAUUUGGCAUGGAAGCAGCUGAGUGCGAUGGAAAAGCAGAUCAGCCUCUUGCUUUACAACUCUAGGCACCUCUACAUUAAAAAAAAAAUUCAUUGGAAAUUUAAUAAAGAGAGGAAUUGGAGGAAUUCUCAUGGAAAGGCUGAAUUUCUAGAAAGUGAUGAGUUUUCUCCCUUUCAUCUGGUGAACAUACAACAGAUCACAACAGCAAAAGCAAACAUGACUUAAAUGACACAAAAUGAAACUUGUUGUCUUUCUUAGAGAAUAAGUUGAGCUCUGGCCUGUGACUUUACUCCCUCAUCCUCAGCCGUCAUGGCAGUUGGCAGUUCCUGUGCCACCACAAGUGUCUCCUUUCUGUCUUGCUUCCUUAACCCAUGUCCAGCUAGGACACGCCACUACCUUUUGCCUCAUGUUGCAGUGCAGAGGUGAUCCCACAGCUGGACAGAAAAAUGUGAGUGAGGAAGGACACAGCACAGCAAGUCUGCAGCUGCUUGAUUUUCACCUCUCGUGAUCAGUCCCCUUUUCUGUGGUGAGAGCAGGUAAUGCUGUUUUGGGGGUGUUGGUGGGAAGGCACUGAGAAUCUGUCUUUCCACUGCAGUCCUGGUUGUCCACAUCAACUUUUGCAAUGUGGACAAACAUAAACAAAACUUGCUGGAAGCCAGAAAUCUACAUUUAAUUUGUCUAUGCACUUGCACAGGACUUUAACUAGACACAAAUGCAUUCAGAUAUUAUCUCUGCUUGUUUCAAUAGGUGAGGGAGAGGGGACAACUGGAAAGGGCCUUGCAGCUCCCACUGUUUCUGUGCUAAUUUGGUUUUCUGCUGUAAUAUCCUGUUUUGAGAUGCAUUAACCAUUUAGGCUGAGCAUGCUGGGAUGUCAGAGACCAGUGGAUGCAAAAUUUAAGUCAAAACCAAUCAGUGUAUUUUUUCCCAGCUCAAAGCCAAGCAGGGAGAGUUUUAUACCAUAUUUAAAGAUCGCUGCAAUUUCUUUGCUUUGAAAGCUGGCAGUGUGGUAACCUUUAGGUCACAGUGCUAUUUGCAGAACAUAUGGCAAACCGAGCAUAUUUAGACAAAAUAAUAAAAAAAUAAUAAACAACAGUAACAAUAAUGUCUUAAAGCACAAGUGGACCACACUUGUGUCCAGCAUAGACUUUGUUUCUGCACUCCUGUAGGUUUUGCUCUUGCCAGGUGUGCCAUGACGUAGGACUGGUGUGGUUUCCUUACUGUGCUGCUCUGUGGAUGCUGUCCCCACAGACCCAUUGCGUAGGAGGCAGCUCACAGUUAUACAUGCAGGCACAGCCAAAGGGGCUAAUGGAGCAUUCGUAAUGGAAAAUCUUUGCCUACCAAAGAAUUCACCUGAAAGAUGUUUGUGUAUUGCUGUGACAUCGCUGGCAUUGGCAGAUAUUUACUUAACUGUAACAAUCUUUCUUCAGCAGGCUUGAAUCAGCAUGCUGUAAGUUGGUCAAAUGCAACUGAACUCUGUGUCCCCUAAACUAUACCUCUGCUCACUGAAAGCCGUUCAUAGCACUGUUCAGACAAAUGGCUGGUGACUGGUUUUCCACUCAUCUCUUGAAGAUAUCAGUAUCUAGAAGAUUCCUGUGAUCUGUUCAGGUAUGCUGAAACAGGCAAAGAAUUCCUUAAAUUAUGUAAGCUCCAGAAACAUCAAAAACAGUGGUUUAUUUCCUGAUUCAAAGAUGAGUGCAUAUGUGCUGCAUGCACAAUGCAUGAUAUGCUCCAUAUAAACAGUAUUGAGCUCUUAGAAAGUGUUUUGGUGUCCUAAAAGGAUUUUUUUUUUUAAUAAAUAAACAAUUAAACAAAUAAAUAUUAACUUAAGGCAGUUUUGUUUUUCUCUAAUCAGAGGGUAAGAGUUAAUUUAAUUGGAAAAAAAAAAUCUAGUUUUCAUUAUAUACUCUGAUGUACUGCUUUUUUUUGUCAAAGAAAGGAUGUAUUUGGGGAAGUAAUUAGUCAUUAACUCUUUUUUGCAGUUACCUCAGUGAAUCCAUUAGUACUAACUUCAGUAUGUAUGAGAGCAGCCCGUCUUGUUUGUCAAAGCCACACUACAAAAUCCUCAAAGCCCAUUUCGAAAGAAAAUUGAGUUGUGCUCAGUCACUAAAAAGCUUUUUAUAAUUCCUUCUUCUGCAUUUCGAAUUACUUAGAAACUGCAAUUGCACAAUCUUUAUCUUAUGUAAAAUGUAAUAUCUAAUAGCAGGAACAUAUAAUGAAGGCUGUCCAAGAUAAGGGUGCAGAGUUAACGAGGUUGUGGGAACACGCAUGCAAAGCAGAAAGAAUGGGAUGUCAAAUGUUGCAAAAUUUGAGAAAUAAGGCAAAAUGUUUGCAACAUUUUCUUACAGACUUUCAUGAUCAAACAGUGACUGAUCUGUGACCAGAUAUCUAUAUCACUGGGUAGGAACUAAAAAUCGGCUGGUGGCACAUACACAUUCUUACUUAUCAUUCCUGUGGAUACUUGCUGGCGGCUACUAAAGUUAGCAUUUGGUACUAUCUGCAACUGAUUAUACAUUGGUAAAGCUAAAACCCUUUUGUUGCAUUGUGCUUUAAACAUUUCCAGUAUUUAAAUGGGAUUUCUUCAAAAUAAUCAAGCAACCAAAGGAUUUGGUGAGGUGAGGGCCAGCCUCUUCUCCCGUUUAACUAGCAACAGGACUAGAGGGAAUGGCCUUAAGUUAUGCAUGGGGAGAUUCAGGUUGGAAAUUAGGAAAUACUU
Long non-coding RNA from Gallus gallus (chicken), 18055 nucleotides. RefSeq lists it as uncharacterized. The record is from RefSeq and is a predicted model, not a curated record. The transcript has 5 exons. Lineage: Eukaryota; Metazoa; Chordata; Aves; Galliformes; Phasianidae.